RNAcentral lists this ribosomal RNA (1429 nucleotides) under Salmonella enterica. RNAcentral describes it as "partial 23S ribosomal RNA". It matches the Rfam family "Bacterial large subunit ribosomal RNA", at positions 566 to 1886 of the family's 2925-position model. The record is from RNAcentral. Lineage: Bacteria; Pseudomonadati; Pseudomonadota; Gammaproteobacteria; Enterobacterales; Enterobacteriaceae.
ACACACAAAACAAGCGGUGAGUGCUUUGGGGUGGGGUGACUGCGUACCUUUUGUAUAAUGGGUCAGCGACUUAUAUUCUGUAGCAAGGUUAACCGAAUAGGGGAGCCGGAGGGAAACCGAGUCUUAAUUGGGCGUUAAGUUGCAGGGUAUAGACCCGAAACCCGGUGAUCUAGCCAUGGGCAGGUUGAAGGUUGGGUAACACUAACUGGAGGACCGAACCGACUAAUGUUGAAAAAUUAGCGGAUGACCUGUGGCUGGGGGUGAAAGGCCAAUCAAACCGGGAGAUAGCUGGUUCUCCCCGAAAGCUAUUUAGGUAGCGCCUCGUGAAUUCAUCUCCGGGGGUAGAGCACUGUUUCGGCUAGGGGGCCAUCCCGGCUUACCAACCCGAUGCAAACUGCGAAUACCGGAGAAUGUUAUCACGGGAGACACACGGCGGGUGCUAACGUCCGUCGUGAAGAGGGAAACAACCCAGACCGCCAGCUAAGGUCCCAAAGUCAUGGUUAAGUGGGAAACGAUGUGGGAAGGCCCAGACAGCCAGGAUGUUGGCUUAGAAGCAGCCAUCAUUUAAAGAAAGCGUAAUAGCUCACUGGUCGAGUCGGCCUGCGCGGAAGAUGUAACGGGGCUAAACCAUGCACCGAAGCUGCGGCAGCGAACGUAUCACCCAAGACAACUUUACGGAGUUGACGAUUGACGGAGCGAAGCGACGUCAAAGCGUUCAUUAAAGUCGAGUUGGCUUAGGGAUACGUUCGUUGGGUAGGGGAGCGUUCUGUAAGCCUGUGAAGGUGGCCUGUGAGGGUUGCUGGAGGUAUCAGAAGUGCGAAUGCUGACAUAAGUAACGAUAAAGCGGGUGAAAAGCCCGCUCGCCGGAAGACCAAGGGUUCCUGUCCAACGUUAAUCGGGGCAGGGUGAGUCGACCCCUAAGGCGAGGCCGAAAGGCGUAGUCGAUGGGAAACGGGUUAAUAUUCCCGUACUUGGUGUUACUGCGAAGGGGGGACGGAGAAGGCUAUGUUGGCCGGGCGACGGUUGUCCCGGUUUAAGCGUGUAGGUGUGUGUUCCAGGUAAAUCCGGUUCACUUUAACACUGAGGCGUGAUGACGAGGCACUACGGUGCUGAAGCAACAAAUGCCCUGCUUCCAGGAAAAGCCUCUAAGCAUCAGGUAACAUCAAAUCGUACCCCAAACCGACACAGGUGGUCAGGUAGAGAAUACCAAGGCGCUUGAGAGAACUCGGGUGAAGGAACUAGGCAAAAUGGUGCCGUAACUUCGGGAGAAGGCACGCUGACAUGUAGGUGAAGUGAUUUACUCAUGGAGCUGAAGUCAGUCGAAGAUACCAGCUGGCUGCAACUGUUUAUUAAAAACACAGCACUGUGCAAACACGAAAGUGGACGUAUACGGUGUGACGCCUGCCCGGUGCCGGAAGGUUAAUUGAUG